This is a non-coding RNA of Phrynosoma platyrhinos (Desert horned lizard), 72 nucleotides long. The record is from the annotation of a GenBank genome assembly. NCBI's taxonomy places the organism in Eukaryota, Metazoa, Chordata, Lepidosauria, Squamata, Phrynosomatidae.
GCCAGCAUGGUAUAGUGGUUUAAGUGUUGGACUACUUCUCUGGAGACCAGCGUUCGAAUCCCUGCUCUGCCA